Non-coding RNA from Podarcis lilfordi (Lilford's wall lizard), 3392 nucleotides. Lineage: Eukaryota; Metazoa; Chordata; Lepidosauria; Squamata; Lacertidae. The record is from the annotation of a GenBank genome assembly.
GCCUUCUUUCUCUGUUUCACUGACUCCCGCUGCUGCCUGAUCAGAAAUGCUGAGUCAGUCCUGUGCUAGCAGCUGAAAAGCCGAGUCAGACUGAGGACGUCUCCUUCAAGCCUGCCAAGGAGAAGACCUCAGCUUUUAAGGGCCAGUCUGCCUUGAUAACUGCAUGCUUAGAAUUGGCCAGAGACCAAGCUGUCUGUCUGUAUAACUGUCAGGGAUCUAACAAGGGCAUGGAAUUAAUUUAGCAUUCUAGCAGGUAAAAGGGGUUAGCAUAUAAAUAUGUAACUAUCCACCAUUGCCACAUCAACUGCUAGGCCUCCUGCAGUAGGAAGCGUCUCCAACUGGUGCUUUUGGAUGGAAGACAGGAAUCUUGCUUACUUUCCUUUAGAAUCGGGGGAGUGGGGGAGCGAUAGUUAGACCAAAUGUUUCAGUUUUGCAAAUCUGGAUUCUGUACAUGCGGGCAGCUAUACCAAACCUGGCAUGCUUUUGCUGUAAUUGUGAUGUUUUGCUCAUUUUGUUUUAGUUGCUGUUUUGUUAACGGUGUUUUAUAGAUUGUAAUUGUUUGAUUGAUUUGUUCAUUGUUCUAUGCGAUUCAUGUUGUAUCUUUUAUUAUGUUAUGUGUAGACCACUUUGAGAUUCAUUUGAAUGAAACUACAAUCGAAAUACAAUAAAUCAAACCAAAUCGUCAUGUUCAUCCUCCAACCGGGAAAGCUUUCUUGCUGUCAAGCUACAUCAGGAGCAUUAUGGAUAAAGGUUUUAAGCCUUUCUAACCAAACUAUCUGCAUUCUCACAUUUUAUUUUACUUUCUUACCAGGCCAUCGCGCCAAAUUUGGCCCUAUCAGGACUUGUGGUGUUUCUUGCUUGCUUGUUUUACAUCUGUGACAGCAAUGAAGUAUGUAAACAAUUUUCAGGCUAGUUAACCCAUGAUGCAGUGUGAAUUCAACCAAGUAUAUAUGUAUGACAGCAUGUGGAACUCCCGGAAAAGCAGUCACUGAAUGGAUGAUGCAGAAACUCUUCCCAAUGAAUAAAAAUCUGAAUUCCUCCGAUUUGCACACAAGUAACCGGCACAACUAGUCUUGGACUUGUUCACUGUAUUUCAAGUGUUCAGGCACGAGUUCUGCUGCUUUUGUAGCUGAAACAGCACCAUCCAUUCACAGGAGCAAGGAUAUCAGCAGGCGUUGAGGAACCCCCAGGUUUGCAGAAGUGCAUAAAGAAACUCUUUAGGAAAAACUACAGCAGAAGAGGCCUAAAAUUGGCCUGUUGGAGGCUCAGUGGCCAUGGAAUCUUGACCGACUGUUUUGUUAAGGGGGGAGGCAGGAUGCAGGGAAAUGGAAGGGAGUAUCAUCGAGAGAGGGUUGGCUGGCUGACUCGGAACAGUGAACAGGAAAAAUUCACACUGCAACGUUUUGUUGCAGCCCCCCCCGACUCAUAAGAUCUCUAAAUCGGCUUCAACCCAAGUACUUCUGCUGAACAAAUUGGGCCGUUGCAGCGAUUGCCGCAGGGUUGCAGGGUUGCAAAACGCUGCUAAAUUUGAAGGCAUUUCUUGCCAUUUUGCUGUCACAUUAAGGUCACAGCUGUCACAGCAGUUUAGUAGCGUAACUGCAGCAUGCAUGCCCUUAAAAUACCACAUCUCUUAAAAAUGUGGUGCAUUGCAGCAAUCUAGUAUUCUUAGUGAGCUCAAGCAGUUUGGGAACAGCCUUAGGGAGUUGUGGGUCUCGGGGCAAGCAGAUUUCCUCAGCAUGUGAUUGGAUGAUACUUUCACGGGGGGGGGGGGUGGCGAGCAGAAAAAGCGUUAAGGGUCUCCACUGAAAUUCAAGUAGGCUGGUGACAUAAUCUGAAACCAGUAGAAGGUCCAGUGGACAGAAGGUGGGGUUUUCCAGGCCCAACAUAGUCCUUUGCCCUUGUUCACAACUAGUGAAAGCAUGUGUGUCCUUUAGGGGCACAGCUACCCCAUUCAGGACCAGGGAGUCCCCCACACCUGCCCUCCCCCUGCCCCCCAAGAGACAGUGCUUCGGUCUUGUUGGGAUUCAACCUCAAUCCAUGGACCGCCAAUGGAUGCUAAAAAGGCAGCAGAAAUAAUGGCACCUGCCUUUCAAGGGAAGGAAUUCCACAGGGUAGAUGCCACAACUCUAAAGGCCCGAUUCCUCUCCUGAUAUGAUGGAUAUCUACAGGAGGUCCUCACAUGCAGAACACAGUGAUCAAGGAUUAUAUAAAACAGUGGGACAAUAUUUCAGGAGUCCUGGUCCCAUUGUGCUUUGCACACCAGGAAUCAGGACCUUGAACUUAACCUGGUAGCUACGAUACAUGUGCACACUCAAAACACACAUACACACACAGUGCCAGUUAGCUUUGGAGACACUUUGCUACACAAUAAAGCACUCCAGGUGUUUCCGGAAUCGAAUAAAAGAACCCAAUCCUAAUCACUGUUUACUUGGAAGUCUCAUUGUUCUCACUGCUUAGGAUGGUAGCCAAAAAUCACACCACAUGUUCAAACGUUUUGAAAAGGCAGGGUGGGGGUUGAAGGGAGAGGAAGAAGAAGGAAGGCAGAAGGAAAACGGAACACUGGGCCACAUUGCGUAAACUUCUGAAGCCGCCUUGUUCCUGAAUUAGGAACAAGGGGGGGGCGGGAAUGCUUGUCAUGAGCAAACUUCCAGAUGACCUCUUUAUUGAGCAUUCAUCCUGAUCUUUCUGCACAAAGUGCAAGUGGUAGAUACACCACGUCCGGUCCUUUAUUGAGCAUUUAUUCUGAUUUGUUUAGCGUGAGGUUCUAUGAUAAUGAGCUUUCAUUCCGCACCAAUCCUGAUUUGCUCGUGGGGUGUUUACAUGUCUUCUUCCUCCAGGCUGCCUCAAAACUGCCAGUGGCUCGCAGGAGGGAUACAAGUACUAACCAGAAUGUUUAGGUUCCUUGGAUUCUGCCAUAGGGUGAAGGUCCGUCCCCCCAUUGCAUCUAGCUCUACUGUUUUAUCCCUGUAGACCUGACCCUACCAUUUGGCAGCUUGAGGCACCUUGUCAAGUGGCAGAUGCCGGGAGAGUGGGAGUCAGUGCCAAGUUGCUUGUGGGCAGAGCUGUGCGAGCCACCCAGCCUGCCAGGUGCCUCCUCUGGCAGCCUGUUCUCCUCGGCUGAGAACACUGUCCUGUUGUCAGUUGCUGAAGCUGCCAGGCUCCAGCCAGCUUCUAUAUACACAGGAUGAUGUGGAGAGAGGCCACCAUAUUGCCCUUCUUGUCAGGCAGCAAAAUGGCUUGGGUUAGCCCUGCAGUUCUCAGGCUGGCUACAUUUGGGUGGUACAGCCAGUGCCGGAUUUAUGUAUAAGCUAAACAAGCUAUAGCUUAGGGCCCCACUCUCUCUUGGGGGCCACCCAAAAAAAAUUAAAGGAAAAAACUGGAUGAACAUUUCC